UUAAGUUCAGCGGGUAUCCCUACCUGAUCCGAGGUCAACCUUAAGAAGUUGGGUUGGGCGAGGCACCACAGGACCCAGAAGCGAGAGAGAUUACUACGCUUAGAGUCUUGCUUAGACUGCCAUUAGGUUUAGGAGCCGCCGAGUGGCGAGCCCCAACACCAAGCUGGGCUUGAUUGGUAUAAUGACGCUCGAACAGGCAU
This 200-nucleotide unclassified non-coding RNA is filed under the name Durella sp. RNAcentral's name for it is "partial internal transcribed spacer 2". The record is from RNAcentral. Lineage: Eukaryota; Fungi; Ascomycota; Leotiomycetes; Helotiales.